Molecule: ribosomal RNA, 428 nt
Filed under: uncultured bacterium
Lineage: Bacteria
Description: partial 16S ribosomal RNA
Rfam family: Bacterial small subunit ribosomal RNA
Source: RNAcentral
GUGGGGAAUAUUGGGCAAUGGGCGCAAGCCUGACCCAGCAACGCCGCGUGAAGGAAGAAGGCUUUCGGGUUGUAAACUUCUUUUACCAGGGACGAAACAAAUGACGGUACCUGGUGAAUAAGCCACGGCUAACUACGUGCCAGCAGCCGCGGUAAUACGUAGGUGGCGAGCGUUAUCCGGAUUUAUUGGGUGUAAAGGGCGUGUAGGCGGGACAGCAAGUCAGAUGUGAAAACCAGAGGCUCAACCUCUGGCCUGCAUUUGAAACUGUUUUUCUUGAGUACUGGAGAGGCAGAUGGAAUUCCUAGUGUAGCGGUGAAAUGCGUAGAUAUUAGGAGGAACACCAGUGGCGAAGGCGAUCUGCUGGACAGCAACUGACGCUGAGGCGCGAAAGCGUGGGGAGCAAACAGGAUUAGAAACCCGUGUAGUCC